Molecule: transfer RNA, 71 nt
Filed under: Plutella xylostella (diamondback moth)
Lineage: Eukaryota; Metazoa; Arthropoda; Insecta; Lepidoptera; Plutellidae
Description: tRNA-Met
Source: RNAcentral
GCCUCUGUGGUCUAGUGGUAGAACUUCGCUUCAUGACCCUGAGGUCCCGGGUUCGAUUCCCGGGUGGGACC